GAUGAACGCUGGCGGCGUGCCUAAUACAUGCAAGUCGAGCGAACGGACGAGAAGCUUGCUUCUCUGAUGUUAGCGGCGGACGGGUGAGUAACACGUGGAUAACCUACCUAUAAGACUGGGAUAACUUCGGGAAACCGGAGCUAAUACCGGAUAAUAUUUUGAACCGCAUGGUUCAAAAGUGAAAGACGGUCUUGCUGUCACUUAUAGAUGGAUCCGCGCUGCAUUAGCUAGUUGGUAAGGUAACGGCUUACCAAGGCAACGAUGCAUAGCCGACCUGAGAGGGUGAUAGGCCACACUGGAACUGAGACACGGUCCAGACUCCUAAGGGAGGCAGCAGUAGGGAAUCUUCCGCAAUGGGCGAAAGCCUGACGGAGCAACGCCGAGUGAGUGAUGAAGGUCUUCGGAUCGUAAAACUCUGUUAUUAGGGAAGAACAUAUGUGUAAGUAACUGUGCACAUCUUGACGGUACCUAAUCAGAAAGCCACGGCUAACUACGUG
This 497-nucleotide ribosomal RNA is filed under the name uncultured bacterium. RNAcentral describes it as "partial 16S ribosomal RNA". It matches the Rfam family "Bacterial small subunit ribosomal RNA", at positions 28 to 507 of the family's 1533-position model. The record is from RNAcentral.